This 227-nucleotide ribosomal RNA is filed under the name uncultured bacterium. Its description in RNAcentral is "partial 16S ribosomal RNA". It matches the Rfam family "Bacterial small subunit ribosomal RNA", at positions 524 to 752 of the family's 1533-position model. The record is from RNAcentral.
UACGUAGGGGGCGAGCGUUGUCCGGAGUACUGGGCGUAAAGCGCACGCAGGCGGUCUGCUAAGUUUGGAGUGACAGUUGGUGGCUUAACUGCAAAGUGCUUCGAAAACUGACAGACUUGAGGGCUUCAGAGGGACACGGAAUUCCGGGUGGAGUGGUGAAAUGCGUAGAGAUCCGGAGGAACACCAAAGGCGAAGGCAGUGUCCUGGGGAGUACCUGACGCUCAGGU